UACGUAGGGGGCAAGCGUUGUCCGGAUUUAUUGGGCGUAAAGAGCGUGUAGGCGGCUUGGUAGGUCUCGCGUCAAAACCUGAGGCUCAACCUCAGUUCGCGUGGGAAACCACCUAGCUAGAGUCCGGAAGAGGAGAGCGGAAUUCCCAGUGUAGCGGUGAAAUGCGCAGAUAUUGGGAAGAACACCAGUGGCGAAGGCGGUUCUCUGGGACGGUACUGACGCUGAGACGCGAAAGCGUGGGGAGCGAACAGG
This 252-nucleotide ribosomal RNA is filed under the name uncultured bacterium. RNAcentral's name for it is "partial 16S ribosomal RNA". It matches the Rfam family "Bacterial small subunit ribosomal RNA", at positions 524 to 776 of the family's 1533-position model. The record is from RNAcentral.